GAUGAACGCUGGCGGCGUGCCUAAUACAUGCCAGUCGAGCGAACGGACGAGAAGCUUGCUUCUCUGAUGUUAGCGGCGGACGGGUGAGUAACACGUGGAUAACCUACCUAUAAGACUGGGAUAACUUCGGGAAACCGGAGCUAAUACCGGAUAAUAUUUUGAACCGCAUGGUUCAAAAGUGAAAGACGGUCUUGCUGUCACUUAUAGAUGGAUCCGCGCUGCAUUAGCUAGUUGGUAAGGUAACGGCUUACCAAGGCAACGAUGCAUAGCCGACCUGAGAGGGUGAUCGGACACACUGGAACUGAGACACGGUCCAGACUCCUACGGGAGGCAGCAGUAGGGAAUCUUCCGCAAUGGGCGAAAGCCUGACGGAGCAACGCCGCGUGAGUGAUGAAGGUCUUCGGAUCGUAAAACUCUGUUAUUAGGGAAGAACAUAUGUGUAAGUAACUGUGCACAUCUUGACGGUACCUAAUCAGAAAGCCACGGCUAACUACGUG
RNAcentral lists this ribosomal RNA (497 nucleotides) under uncultured bacterium. RNAcentral's name for it is "partial 16S ribosomal RNA". It matches the Rfam family "Bacterial small subunit ribosomal RNA", at positions 28 to 507 of the family's 1533-position model. The record is from RNAcentral.